RNAcentral lists this transfer RNA (70 nucleotides) under Dokdonella immobilis. Its description in RNAcentral is "tRNA_Cys_GCA". It matches the Rfam family "tRNA". Rfam says of the family: Transfer RNA (tRNA) molecules are approximately 80 nucleotides in length. Lineage: Bacteria; Pseudomonadati; Pseudomonadota; Gammaproteobacteria; Lysobacterales; Rhodanobacteraceae. The record is from RNAcentral.
GGCACUGGGGCGAUAGGUCAUGCAGCGGCCUGCAAAGCCGCGUACGCCGGUUCGAUUCCGACCCAGGCCU